Molecule: long non-coding RNA, 415 nt
Filed under: Amborella trichopoda
Lineage: Eukaryota; Viridiplantae; Streptophyta; Magnoliopsida; Amborellales; Amborellaceae
Description: long non-coding RNA (ATRI_LNC001571)
Source: RNAcentral
AAACUGGAACUUAAUCAAUUCCGAUUUAUCCGAGCGGUUGCCAAUUAGACCACUCGAUUUUUACUUCAAUGUUGUGGAGAGAGAGCAGAAUAAAGUAGGAGAUAUAGAGCCCUCAUCUGUUGGGAGAGAAACAAUGAAGAGAGAGCCAAGCAAAGAGAGAGAGAGGGGUAUAGAGAUUGUGGAGAGAGAGAGAGCAAGACAAAGAGUGACGGGGGUAGAUAGAGAGCGCGUAGAGUAGAGAGAUCCGAUGAGAGAGAGACCGAGACAGAGAGAAGCUUGAAAAGGGAGAAAAAAUUGAGGAUAGAACAUACCUGAGAAAGUGAGUGGACAUGGCGACGACCCGAGCUGAGAGAUCCACAUGAACCCAAGAGAAAGGGAUUAUGGGGAGAGGAGAGAAGGAAAGGGAAGUGAAGAG